GAUGAACGCUGGCGGCGUGCCUAAUACAUGCAGGUCGAGCGAACGGACGAGAAGCUUGCUUUUCUGAUGUUAGCGGCGGACGGGUGAGUAACACGUGGAUAACCUACCUAUAAGACUGGGAUAACUUCGGGAAACCGGAGCUAAUACCGGAUAAUAUUUUGAACCGCAUGGUUCAAAAGUGAAAGACGGUCUUGCUGUCACUUAUAGAUGGAUCCGCGCUGCAUUAGCUAGUUGGUAAGGUAACGGCUUACCAAGGCAACGAUGCAUAGCCGACCUGAGAGGGUGAUCGGCCACACUGGAACUGAGACACGGUCCAGACUCCUACGGGAGGCAGCAGUAGGGAAUCUUCCGCAAUGGGCGAAAGCCUGACGGAGCAACGCCGCGUGAGUGAUGAAGGUCUUCGGAUCGUAAAACUCUGUUAUUAGGGAAGAACAUAUGUGUAAGUAACUGUGCACAUCUUGACGGUACCUAAUCAGAAAGCCACGGCUAGCUACGUG
Molecule: ribosomal RNA, 497 nt
Filed under: uncultured bacterium
Lineage: Bacteria
Description: partial 16S ribosomal RNA
Rfam family: Bacterial small subunit ribosomal RNA
Source: RNAcentral